GAUGAACGCUAGCGAUAGGCCUAACACAUGCAAGUCGAGGGGCAUCACAUGAAGUAGCAAUACGGAUGGUGGCGACCGGCGCACGGGUGAGUAACACGUAUGCAACCUGCCUUCAACAAGGGGAUAACCCGUUGAAAGACGGACUAAUACCCUAUAACACAGGGGUCCCGCAUGGGAAUAUUUGUUAAAGGACAACCGGUUGAAGAUGGGCAUGCGUUCCAUUAGCUAGUUGGCGGGGUAACGGCCCACCAAGGCAACGAUGGAUAGGGGAACUGAGAGGUUUAUCCCCCACACUGGUACUGAGACACGGACCAGACUCCUACGGGAGGCAGCAGUGAGGAAUAUUGGUCAAUGGACGCAAGUCUGAACCAGCCACGUCGCGUGAAGGAAGACGGCCCUACGGGUUGUAAACUUCUUUUAUACGGGAAUAAAGUGCCCCACGCGUGGGGUUUUGCAUGUACCGUAUGAAUAAGGAUCGGCUAACUCCGUGCAGCAGCCGCGGUAAAUCACACUACAC
This 517-nucleotide ribosomal RNA is filed under the name uncultured bacterium. RNAcentral describes it as "bacterial SSU rRNA". It matches the Rfam family "Bacterial small subunit ribosomal RNA", at positions 28 to 535 of the family's 1533-position model. The record is from RNAcentral.